RNAcentral lists this unclassified non-coding RNA (343 nucleotides) under soil metagenome. RNAcentral describes it as "partial contains 5.8S ribosomal RNA, internal transcribed spacer 2, and large subunit ribosomal RNA". The stretch from base 1 to 120 matches the Rfam family "5.8S ribosomal RNA", at positions 35 to 154 of the family's 154-position model. The record is from RNAcentral.
GAUGAAGAACGUAGCGAAAUGCGAUAAGUAAUGUGAAUUGCAGAAUUCAGUGAAUCAUCGAAUCUUUGAACGCACAUUACGCCCGCCAGCAUUCUGGCGGGCAUGCCUGUUCGAGCGUCAUUUCAACCCUCGAGCCCCCCCGGGGGCCUCGGUGUUGGGGGACGGCACACCAGCCGCCCCCGAAAUGCAGUGGCGACCCCGCCGCAGCCUCCCCUGCGUAGUAGCACACACCUCGCACCGGAGCGCGGAGGCGGUCACGCCGUAAAACGCCCAACUUUCUUAGAGUUGACCUCGGAUCAGGUAGGAAUACCCGCUGAACUUAAGCAUAUCAAUAAGCGGAGGA